Ornithorhynchus anatinus (platypus) is the source of this 588-nucleotide long non-coding RNA. RefSeq lists it as uncharacterized. The record is from RefSeq and is a predicted model, not a curated record. The transcript has 6 exons. NCBI's taxonomy places the organism in Eukaryota, Metazoa, Chordata, Mammalia, Monotremata, Ornithorhynchidae.
CCCUUUUUGGAGCAAUGGCAGAGCAGGCAGGUCUCCUUGCAACCGCCCUCCAGGCCCUCUUUACCAAGCAAAAGAAAGCCACUGACCCAGGAAAGGUGCCAUCCGGGGACUGAGGCUUUGGCCAGAGGCUGAAAUGAGACGACUAGAAAUGAGUAGCAGGACCCGUGAUCCUGCAGCCCCAGAAGAACUUUGUGGAAUGAGUUCUAUGCCUACAGAAGACACUGGCUGACUAGAUGCAUUUGGCAUUCGGCAUUCUGCACAUGGCUGACAGCAUAAGCACCGGCUGGAUUAGAAGGGGCAGCUGCUGGUUCUCUGGCAACUUCACGCCAAGGCCACCCCUGGAGUUGUGUCUACGCUACGUGGAGAAAAAUGAUACAUUUUGAAACAUUUUGGGCUUGGUGUGGUGACUUUUCAAGAGACUUUCAAAGCUCUUCAAUGAAAGUUGAAUUUAAAAAUCUGUGACACUUGAACCCAGUUUCUUGUAAAUGACUGUCACUGUGGUAAACUUUCUUGUGUUCCAGCCUCUCAAGCAGAACGUGACAAAUUAAUGCCUUUUUCUCAAGAAUAAGAGCAUACUUUGAAACUUUG